Molecule: ribosomal RNA, 4869 nt
Filed under: Triticum aestivum (bread wheat)
Lineage: Eukaryota; Viridiplantae; Streptophyta; Magnoliopsida; Poales; Poaceae
Description: partial small subunit ribosomal RNA
Source: RNAcentral
GCCAGGGUGAGGGCGUGGUCGUCGGCGUGCUUGGGAUCGGCGAUAAGGGGAGCUAGGGGUAUCGGAGAGGACGGAGUACCUAGGAGCGGCGGCGGACGAUGAGGAUGAGGUGGUGACGACGACGAAGAGGUGGUGCGACGGGAAGGUGGAGCGCAAGGAAGAUAGGCAACAUAUACAACGGCAGCCGCCGCGGACCAAGGUCUAGCCCGCGUCCAAUCGUCUCAGGCCACAACUCCACUUCCUCGUACCCUCUCCCCCGCUACUCCUGUUCGUUGAAAGCCGGCAACGGUACCGACUCCGAUGUCCUUUCUCCAUCCUUCGGCCUCCCACUUCCUCGUCCGGCCGGGAGUACCUCUGCGGCGGCGGUCGGCACCCGGUAAGCGGCAGUGACCGGAGUGCGGAGCAGAGGAGAGAGAAGUGGUGGUGUAGGUACAACAAAAAACCUCUUACCACGAGGCUAGACCAGGGAUACCAUUAUAGAAGGGAAUAAGAGGGAGGAAACUAAAGAUUAUUUGAAUGAAACUGCACAACAGAACUGUAUUUAACACUGCAGAUAACAAUAUGGUACCGUACACAUCACGAUUACCAAAGGACGAUCCGUUGAAGUCCGGACGUUGUAAAUGUCCCCUCCUAACGUCCACAGCUAUGCUACCUCGUUAAAGACCAAAACACCAACCUCGUAUCGGAGUAAAAGCGUUCUCAAACCCAAAGAGUUCUUGUUACCCUACAAUUAGAAGGUACGCGUCGCCGCCACGUAGUUCCACGUUCCGUCGACGCUGUACAAGUAUCAUGCGAUUUCCUACUCGAGGAUGAAAACGACUACGAUCGAGGAACGACGUCUCAGUAACACCACGGACAACCCGGAAACCACAACACCUCACAGACGCUCUAGCAAAGACGUAAGGAGUACAGUACCACUCACGUAUACCUGCUAGACAGAUGAUAGACCAGAUAAAAAUUUAUCCGUACAGCCAGAAAAGAAUGUAUUCGUCGGACGACAAAGAUAAGGAGUGUCUUGUAAAGUCAAAGACAGUUAAGUGUAAAUAGAGGUACAAUAGAACCACAUUCCAUCGAAACUACUACACAACUCCGCCAGACGAGUCACAUUCUUGUUUAUCAACCGGUGAGGGUAAAAAUAGAGUAAAGCAUUAGUAGCGUUCGAUACGGAUACAGUUAUAGAUUUUCAAAAACGAUAAACAAAGAGGAGGAAAUUAGUUAUAAACAUCCUAACAAUCAUUCCAACGAGUAGCAGUUCCUUUCACGAAACACCUAUGAACGUACUGAUUCCUUCUUUAAACAAUAAACUUCAUACGUGAUCUCUAUAACGUUCCAUAAAGACAAUGGUCUGCUUCUUUAAACAAUAAACUUCAUACGUAAUCUCUAUAACGUUCCAUAAAGACAAUGGUCUAAGUAUAGAAAAAAACCCUGGAUACAUGUCUACUACUAAGCAUCGACGUCAAUAAAAACAGGAUUUCUAUGUUCGUUUAACUUCUAAUCUGAAGACAUACCUUUAAAUUUAUCACCAAGGGACCUUUCGUUAAAUUAAAGAACGUAACUAAAGAGACUAUAUUGGUGCGGAAAGGAUAAAACAAUUUCUUCAUUUGAUUAAGGAUUUGAAUGUGGUGGUCAGUCGUAUCGUAAGUUCGUACGGUGAUCCGGUCCCGUAAGAUCGUUUGGAGCGAGGGUGAUAUCCAAUCAAGAAUCGAUACGAACGCUGAUAAGAUUAGCUGGCCUGUUUUUUGAUACCCUCCUUAGUUUCCGUACGUAGACUGGAGCCCAUGUACGUGGUUAACUUUAUUCUCCACUAUUACAAUAGUAUAUCGAUAUAAGCUAAGUACUCAUUGAAUUGUUGGUUGGACCUGCCGUUUUCAAAUGAAGUGAACCAUUGUACUCCACCUGUGGCUUUCGAACGAUAGAUUAAAAGAAGAGACAUCUCCUUUUGUUCAUAUGGCUAUCAACCUGUGACUUUCAAAAGAUUUUAAUAAAAAUCUCAACAUAUCACAUAUGUAAAUAUUGCAUCUAGGAAUGAGUACAAUGUGGAAAGAACAAGAAUACCGCUUUUGUAAUCGUAUAAUUGGUAAAGAUAUAAAAAGACAAUAAAAGAAAAUUAUGUCAUCACAGGUACGAAUAUCUAAAGAUAAAUCACAGUUAGAUCGUAUGAGUACAGUGAGGGCAGGGUAAAAUCGAGACAACUACCUACUAAAGACGGUAAAUAAAAAUAAGGGUAAAAUAUAUAAGACUAAUAACGAAGUAAUAAAUAGUUGACUACUCCGUACUGAAAACACACGUGAAGAAUGACUACUACUAGGACUACAAUAAACAAACUCUUUUCUGACUCUGCCGAACUUCACGUAUAAAUAGGAAUAAAACAAGUUAAUAUUACCCUACUUCAUUGAAUUAACUGGCUAUCACAACAAUCAUCACUAUCUGUUAUCCGUUAAAUGAUCUCGUCAAGACACCCAUAAUCCGUAUCAGAAGAGACAGAGAUUUUGGUCGAAGCGUACGUUCUAGAAUAGGAUACGGUUCAAUAAGACACCCAUAUAAAAACUUUAUAAAUAGAAACAACAAGGCGAAUCGAUGUGGGAGGAAUUCAUAAAAAAAAUGUCUUAGAUCUUUUUGUUUCACGAAACGAAGAAAGGAACGGACCAAGUUCCAAGGCUCUGGUGUACGUCACACGCAACCUGUUACAACGACUCCCAGGUCAAAGAGUAAAAAAUCUAAAACAUCAUCGUCUAUACACAUAUUAUAUCUAUUGAUUUGACCACAAAUCCGCAAAAUCACGUCCUGACGAUGAACGAGCUAAUCAAUCUACUUGACCACAAAUCUCUAAAAUCAUACCUCACUACAAAACCAGAACUAACAUCCCGAAGCUCUACGUGGUACUCCCGACUUUGCUCCGAAUAUGGUCCGAUGUUUUAAUAGUACGAAAACCCUAAAAGGACUUAAAUCAAUCGUAUUUAUGCAGGUCUUAGAGAGUACGUUAUACAUUCAGACAGCCAUUGUUGUGACUAAAAAGCUCAAACAAGACGGUUUGUUUCACACCUUGUAUGAAGUAAAAACGUCAAUUUUCUUCCUUUUCUCUUGUAACCCCCUUUUCCGUCGACUCGCCUAAGAGAUUCGAAAGAGUUUACAAACUUCCUUUUCUAUCAAUGUUAGUAAUAAGAGAGCGGAAUGAUGUAGAACUACAAUUAUCCGAAACCUUCCAUGAUACGUGGGCAAGUUCCAAAUAUCUUAAACAUGGUAGGAUAAUUUCAAAUAAGACUACUUUCUUAACUGGCCAAGAAGGAACACAUUUAAUUAUAACGUCGACGAUGAGGAAACACGUAACCAUGUAUCAAUAUCAAAACUUCCACACAUGCGUAGUUGUAUAUGAAGGGUGGUAGGAUAAUAUCAAACAAGACUACUGUUUUAACUCGUGGGGAAUGAACUCAUUUAACACGUUGAGAAGGAACUCAUUUAAUCAUAACGUCAAUGACUCGGAAACACGUAAUGCUAUGUCAAGAUGACUUCGAUCAUAACAUGAUGAAUACGGGUAAAAUUUGGGUCUGGACUAAAAUGUAGUAAAAACAGGAGUAGGCAAGAGGAAUUAAAAUCAGGUAAAGUCGUUACGAUACUAGACGGUGAGAUAUACUUUUUGCUGACUUUAAAACGAAAACACUAAAUCAGUUAGUAGACACAAAACUAAGGAUAACUAGAGAGGAAACCGUUGACUACGGUGGGCCUCCCGACGGUCGGGUUCCAUUCUAGCCAUGAUAGGAAGUUAUUUUUUUGUCACGUACGUCUCUUUAGGCUUUAGGCUUUAUCAUCCUUUCCUCUUUAGAGUGGUCAACUCAUGCACAGAAACCUUUACGAAGAGAACGAAUUUACUCCUUGGCUCCUUCUUUUCCCCUAUUUGUUCGUGCUAUCUACAUCAGGGGUGGCGAAGUAUAAGAUGAGGUCUGCUCGGUGUGUGUGUCUUAACAGGCACCUGAGUCGAUCCAUCGUAUACCCGGAAAGUUUAUGGAUACGGAGGUAUACGUGUUGUGCCUCUACCAAGAAAACGCACGUGUACCUUUUAUUUUCAAGUCAUGUUAGUGUUGAUUUUUUUAUGCAGGAAUUGACCAGAUAUGUAAAAUAGGUUUGUACAGGAAUAAAAAAGUUUGAGCCUAAAGAGUACUACUAUUGGUAUAAAAGUUGAUUUUUUUACUAAGGAAUUGACAACAUAUGUAUAAUAUGUUCAUACUAAAAAAAGUUUGAGUUUAAAGAGUUGUACUAUUUGUAUAAAAGUUAUAUCGUAUUAAAUUAUGUACCCAAAAGAUAAUGGUUAUAGCUUAUACAGGAACGUUUUACUUUGAUAAAAGUAGCUGUUGUACCGAAAUCGCCCAGAGACGCGGUAAACCGCGUUGCCCAGUUGAUUAACAGUAUUUCUUAUACUUCAUAGACAGAAAGACCCGAGGAGCGUCCAUUUCUCGUAAAGCUCUGCAGACAGGGCUCCACCGCACGGCACCCCCGGAGAGCCCCUACGAAGCUCGGUAGUCUGGGACGACCCGCCAGCCCCCCUGGCGUCCCGCGCGGAUCCUGGUGGCAGUAACCUGCCGGAAGCAGCGUGUUGAUGGGCGAGCGUUUCCGUAUCGGUCCGAGCGGACAGUCGUAGGUGGUAGUCGCUAGGCCCGACCAGGUUAGUACUGUCCGUCCCACACGCAGUGCGGGCGGACGUGGCCGAGUGACACUCCCAGAGAGGCCCGCGAAGCUCAGGAGGCUAGACGGGUCUGCCACACCUGGGUCUGUUGGGCCGACCCACCAGGUACUACCCACACUUCCUUUAUACGGAAUCUCCGUUAUUAUUUCAAUAAUAAAUAAAAGAAUAAAGUACUAUUUACAAAUAAUAAG